Molecule: ribosomal RNA, 467 nt
Filed under: uncultured bacterium
Lineage: Bacteria
Description: partial 16S ribosomal RNA
Rfam family: Bacterial small subunit ribosomal RNA
Source: RNAcentral
GACGAACGCUGGCGGCGUGCUUAACACAUGCAAGUCGAACGGAAAGGCUCCAGCUUGCUGGAGUACUCGAGUGGCGAACGGGUGAGUAACACGUGGGUAAUCUGCCCUGCACUCUGGGAUAAGCCUGGGAAACUGGGUCUAAUACUGGAUAUGACCUUUCUCCUUAUGGGGUUUGGUGGAAAGUUUCUCGGUGUAGGAUGAGCCCGCGGCCUAUCAGCUUGUUGGUGGGGUGAUGGCCUACCAAGGCGACGACGGGUAGCCGGCCUGAGAGGGUGAUCGGCCACAUUGGGACUGAGAUACGGCCCAGACUCCUACGGGAGGCAGCAGUGGGGAAUAUUGCACAAUGGGCGGAAGCCUGAUGCAGCGACGCCGCGUGAGGGAUGACGGCCCUCGGGUUGUAAACCUCUUUCAGCAGGGACGAAGCGUAAGUGACGGUACCUGCAGAAGAAGCACCGGCUAACUAUGUG